CCUACGGGCUGCACCAGUAGGGAAUCUUCCGCAAUGGACGAAAGUCUGACGGAGCAACGCCGCGUGAGUGAUGAAGGCUUUCGGGUCGUAAAACUCUGUUGUUAGGGAAGAACAAGUGCUAGUUGAAUAAGCUGGCACCUUGACGGUUCCUAACCAGAAAGCCACGGCUAACUACGUGCCAGCAGCCGCGGUAAUACGUAGGUGGCAAGCGUUAUCCGGAAUUAUUGGGCGUAAAGCGCGCGCAGGUGGUUUCUUAAGUCUGAUGUGAAAGCCCACGGCUCAACCGUGGAGGGUCAUUGGAAACUGGGAGACUUGAGUGCAGAAGAGGAAAGUGGAAUUCCAUGUGUAGCGGUGAAAUGCGUAGAGAUAUGGAGGAACACCAGUGGCGAAGGCGACUUUCUGGUCUGUAACUGACACUGAGGCGCGAAAGCGUGGGGAGCAAACAGGAUUAGAUACCCCAGUAGUC
This 466-nucleotide ribosomal RNA is filed under the name uncultured bacterium. Its description in RNAcentral is "bacterial SSU rRNA". It matches the Rfam family "Bacterial small subunit ribosomal RNA", at positions 338 to 795 of the family's 1533-position model. The record is from RNAcentral.